ACCACUUCGGUGGGGAUUAGUGGCGAACGGGUGAGUAACACGUGGGCAAUCUGCCCUGCACUCUGGGACAAGCCCUGGAAACGGGGUCUAAUACCGGAUACUGACCAUCGCAGGCAUCUGUGAUGUUCGAAAGCUCCGGCGGUGCAGGAUGAGCCCGCGGCCUAUCAGCUUGUUGGUGAGGUAAUGGCUCACCAAGGCGACGACGGGUAGCCGGCCUGAGAGGGCGACCGGCCACACUGGGACUGAGACACGGCCCAGACUCCUACGGGAGGCAGCAGUGGGGAAUAUUGCACAAUGGGCGAAAGCCUGAUGCAGCGACGCCGCGUGAGGGAUGACGGCCUUCGGGUUGUAAACCUCUUUCAGCAGGGAAGAAGCGAAAGUGACGGUACCUGCAGAAGAAGCGCCGGCUAACUACGUGCCAGCAGCCGCGGUAAUACGUAGGGCGCGAGCGUUGUCCGGAAUUAUUGGGCGUAAAGAGCUCGUAGGCGGCUUGUCACGUCGGUUGUGAAAGCCCGGGGCUUAACCCCGGGUCUGCAGUCGAUACGGGCAGGCUAGAGUUCGGUAGGGGAGAUCGGAAUUCCUGGUGUAGCGGUGAAAUGCGCAGAUAUCAGGAGGAACACCGGUGGCGAAAGCGGAUCUCUGGGCCGAUACUGACGCUGAGGAGCGAAAGCGUGGGGAGCGAACAGGAUUAGAUACCCUGGUAGUCCACGCCGUAAACGGUGGGCACUAGGUGUGGGCAACAUUCCACGUUGUCCGUGCCGCAGCUAACGCAUUAAGUG
Molecule: ribosomal RNA, 779 nt
Filed under: Streptomyces sp.
Lineage: Bacteria; Bacillati; Actinomycetota; Actinomycetes; Kitasatosporales; Streptomycetaceae
Description: bacterial SSU rRNA
Rfam family: Bacterial small subunit ribosomal RNA
Source: RNAcentral